AAGCAUUGUGGCUCCCUAGCGGGUGAAUAUUGUAAGAAGAUUGUACUUCUGCUAGGUACCAUUAUGUAUAAUGGCUAGAAUGAUAGGAUUGUUCGUUGACUUAUGAAUUAGGUGGCAUGAUUCUUAAGGUGAAAAUAUGUGUGUUAGUUUAUAACAUUGUAGUUUAUUAUGGUGGUAUGUGAAAUUCAAUGCCCCUGCAAUACUUUAAAAUGAAAUUGCAUUUGACAUUUUCCUACAUUUGACUCCAUAUAAUGUUAAACCUAUUAAGUGCGUUGCAUUAAACUGCUUCUUGAGAGAUAAAAAAGAGAAGGUGAAUCAGGUCAAGGGUGUAUUAUGGUUUUUUAAGUGAUUCUUGAAACCCAGUUCUUCUAUAUUGUAUCCUUAUUUGGAGUAUGGUUUAUUUCUGUUUGUUGUCAACUAAGCAUGUAAAUCUAAGAGCUCAGGUCUGUCAUGCCUAAUGAAGUUUUGAACUUUAUGCAGUUUUCAAUUUUUGUCUGAAUGGAAGAAAGAGGAGCUCAAUUUUGUGAUCUUCAUUGCACCAAAUUUUGCUGGCUAUCUACAGUGGCGAACUUUAUUUCGGUCUUUUCCUUGCCAUGAUGAUAGUAGUGUAAAACAAAUAUUUUUAUGGGUCGAAUAUUUAUUUGUACAAGUGUACAUUAGAGCAGGGUUUUUAGAAUGCUCUUGGAUGCUUUGAUAUAAGGCCGAUAACUUCAUGUACUAUUUUUUCCAAUGACUUAUAAUGCAUUCCUAGAGUUUUAUUGUAAUUGAUUUAAUAUAUUAGUUGAUGGUCAUACCUACGGAGAUGGUGUAAGGGAUGUGUUCCCAUAGGUGUGUUUAUCGUUUGGAAUGUUGUACUUAUUGUACUUACACGAACUGCUCAAACAUUUAUGGUGCACUCAAAAACAUUUACUGCAUUAUUUGUCUCUGAUAUGAUCUUCCUUAUCA
This 945-nucleotide long non-coding RNA is filed under the name Lotus japonicus. RNAcentral describes it as "long non-coding RNA (LJAP_LNC000909)". The record is from RNAcentral. Lineage: Eukaryota; Viridiplantae; Streptophyta; Magnoliopsida; Fabales; Fabaceae.